CUGAAGUGGUCCUUCUCAUGGAAAAGACGGAUUAAAAGUGGACUGAGUAAAAAGGAAAGUAGUUUCAAAGGUUAGUGGCAUUACAUGCCAGACGGGGAGUGUUCUGCCCUCAGAAUUGUUUUCAUGACGUAAGAACUGUUUUCUAUGAAAAGAAGAUUACACAAUGGUUAUUUGUCGUUCGGAAGCAAACCGGAAAUGUAUUUUGAAAUGCACCGGAAGCUGCGCAUGUUUUUGUUGAAGCGACUUGACAACUGAUGAGUUUCAGAGUGGUGAUGUUCAU
This is a long non-coding RNA of Syngnathus acus (greater pipefish), 280 nucleotides long. RefSeq lists it as uncharacterized. Lineage: Eukaryota; Metazoa; Chordata; Actinopteri; Syngnathiformes; Syngnathidae. The record is from RefSeq and is a predicted model, not a curated record. The transcript is spliced from 4 exons.